AACGAACGCUGGCGGCAGGCCUAACACAUGCAAGUCGAGCGAGGUAGCAAUACCUAGCGGCGGACGGGUUAGUAACGCGUGGGAACGUGCCCAAAGGUACGGAAUAGCCUCGGGAAACUGAGAGUAAUACCGUAUGUGCCCUUCGGGGGAAAGAUUUAUCGCCUUUGGAUCGGCCCGCGUUGGAUUAGGUAGUUGGUGGGGUAAUGGCCUACCAAGCCGACGAUCCAUAGCUGGUUUGAGAGGAUGAUCAGCAACACUGGGACUGAGACACGGCCCAGACUCCUACGGGAGGCAGCAGUGGGGAAUCUUAGACAAUGGGGGAAACCCUGAUCUAGCCAUGCCGCGUGAGCGAUGAAGGCCUUAGGGUUGUAAAGCUCUUUCAGCUGGGAAGAUAAUGACGGUACCAGCAGAAGAAGCCCCGGCUAACUCCGUGCCAGCAGACGCGGUAAAGUAGUCGUGU
This 460-nucleotide ribosomal RNA is filed under the name uncultured bacterium. RNAcentral's name for it is "bacterial SSU rRNA". It matches the Rfam family "Bacterial small subunit ribosomal RNA", at positions 29 to 534 of the family's 1533-position model. The record is from RNAcentral.